UACAGAGGGUGCAAGCGUUGUUCGGAAUUACUGGGCGUAAAGCGCGUGUAGGCGGUCUGAUAAGUCGGUCGUGAAAUCCCUAGGCUUAACCUAGGAACUGCGAUCGAAACUGUCGGACUAGAGUAUCGGAGGGGGUGGCGGAAUUCCCGGUGUAGAGGUGAAAUUCGUAGAUAUCGGGAGGAACACCUGUGGCGAAGGCGGCCACCUGGAAGAUUACUGACGCUGAGACGCGAAAGCGUGGGGAGCAAACAGG
This 253-nucleotide ribosomal RNA is filed under the name uncultured bacterium. RNAcentral's name for it is "partial 16S ribosomal RNA". It matches the Rfam family "Bacterial small subunit ribosomal RNA", at positions 524 to 776 of the family's 1533-position model. The record is from RNAcentral.